CCUACGGGAGGCAGCAGUAGGGAAUCUUGCACAAUGGGCGCAAGCCUGAUGGAGCAACACCGCGUGAGUGAAGAAGGGUUUCGGCUCGUAAAGCUCUGUUGUUGGAGAAGAACGUGCGUGAGAGUAACUGUUCACGCAGUGACGGUAUCCAACCAGGAAGUCACGGCUAACUACGUGCCAGCAGCCGCGGUAAUACGUAGGUGGCAAGCGUUAUCCGGAUUUACUGGGCGUAAAGCGAGCGCAGGCGGGUGCUUAGGUCUGAUGUGAAAGCCCUGGGCUUAACCGAGGAAGUGCAUCGGAAACCGGGAGACUGGAGUGCAGGAGAGGAUAGUGGAAUUCCAGGUGUAGCGGUGGAAUGCGUAGAUAUGUGGAGGAACACCAGUGGCGAAGGCGGCUGUCUGGUCUGCAACUGACGCUGAGGCUCGAAAGCGUGGGUAGCGAACAGGAUUAGAUACCCUUGUAGUC
RNAcentral lists this ribosomal RNA (465 nucleotides) under uncultured bacterium. RNAcentral describes it as "partial 16S ribosomal RNA". It matches the Rfam family "Bacterial small subunit ribosomal RNA", at positions 338 to 795 of the family's 1533-position model. The record is from RNAcentral.